RNAcentral lists this ribosomal RNA (782 nucleotides) under uncultured Acremonium. RNAcentral describes it as "SSU rRNA". It matches the Rfam family "Eukaryotic small subunit ribosomal RNA", at positions 624 to 1437 of the family's 1831-position model. Lineage: Eukaryota; Fungi; Ascomycota. The record is from RNAcentral.
AAGCUCGUAGUUGAACCUUGGGCCUGGCUGGCCGGUUCGCCCACCGCGUGCACUGGUCCGGCCGGGCCUUUCCCUCUGUGGAACCCCAUACCCUUCACUGGGCGUGGCGGGGAAACAGGACAUUUACUUUGAAAAAAUUAGAGUGCUCCAGGCAGGCCUAUGCUCGAAUACAUUAGCAUGGAAUAAUAAAAUAGGACGCGCGGUUCUAUUUUGUUGGUUUAUGGGACCGCCGUAAUGAUUAAUAGGGACAGUCGGGGGCAUCAGUAUUCAACUGUCAGAGGUGAAAUUCUUGGAUCAGUUGAAGACUAACUACUGCGAAAGCAUUUGCCAAGGAUGUUUUCAUUAAUCAGGAACGAAAGUUAGGGGAUCGAAGACGAUCAGAUACCGUCGUAGUCUUAACCAUAAACUAUGCCGACUAGGGAUCGGACGGUGUUAUUCAUGACCCGUUCGGCACCUUACGAGAAAUCAAAGUGCUUGGGCUCCAGGGGGAGUAUGGUCGCAAGGCUGAAACUUAAAGAAAUUGACGGAAGGGCACCACCAGGGGUGGAGCCUGCGGCUUAACUUGACUCAACACGGGGAAACUCACCAGGUCCAGACACAAUAAGGAUUGACAGAUUGAGAGCUCUUUCUUGAUUUUGUGGGUGGUGGUGCAUGGCCGUUCUUAGUUGGUGGGGUGACUUGUCUGCUUAAUUGCGAUAACGAACGAGACCUUAACCUGCUAAAUAGCCCGCAUUGCUCCGGCAGUGCGCUGGCUUCUUAGAGGGACUUUCGGCUCAAGCCGA